AUACGUAGGUGGCAAGCGUUGUCCGGAAUUAUUGGGCGUAAAGCGCAUGUAGGCGGUUUGGUAAGUCGGUCGUGAAAAUGCGGUGCUUAACGCCGUAUGGCGAUUGAAACUGCUGAACUUGAGUGCAGGAGAGGAAAGGGGAACUCCCAGUGUAGCGGUGAAAUGCGUAGAUAUUGGGAAGAACACCGGUGGCGAAGGCGCCUUUCUGGACUGUGUCUGACGCUCAGAUGCGAAAGCCAGGGUAGCGAACGGGAUUAGAUACCCCGGUAGUCCUGGCCGUAAACGAUGGGUACUAGGUGUGGGAGGUAUCGACUCCUUCCGUGCCGGAGUUAACGCAAUAAGUACCCCGCCUGGGGAGUACGGCCGCAAGGCUUAAACUCAAAUGAAUUGACGGGG
This 396-nucleotide ribosomal RNA is filed under the name uncultured bacterium. RNAcentral's name for it is "partial 16S ribosomal RNA". It matches the Rfam family "Bacterial small subunit ribosomal RNA", at positions 523 to 918 of the family's 1533-position model. The record is from RNAcentral.